Molecule: ribosomal RNA, 253 nt
Filed under: uncultured bacterium
Lineage: Bacteria
Also listed under: 1 other name
Description: partial 16S ribosomal RNA
Rfam family: Bacterial small subunit ribosomal RNA
Source: RNAcentral
UACGUAGGCAGCAAGCGUUGUUCGGAAUUACUGGGCGUAAAGAGUGUGUAGGCGGUGUCGUAAGUUUGGCGUGAAAUCUCCCGGCUUAACUGGGAGGGUGCGCCGAAGACUGCGAUGCUUGAGGGUUGGAGAGGAAAGUGGAAUUUCUGGUGUAGCGGUGAAAUGCGUAGAUAUCAGAAGGAACACCUGUGGUGUAGACGGCUUUCUGGACAACUCCUGACGCUGAGACACGAAAGCGUGGGUAGCAAACAGG